This 2788-nucleotide ribosomal RNA is filed under the name Escherichia coli. Its description in RNAcentral is "bacterial LSU rRNA". It matches the Rfam family "Bacterial large subunit ribosomal RNA". Lineage: Bacteria; Pseudomonadati; Pseudomonadota; Gammaproteobacteria; Enterobacterales; Enterobacteriaceae. RNAcentral also lists the same sequence under 1 other name. The record is from RNAcentral.
AGCGUACACGGUGGAUGCCCUGGCAGUCAGAGGCGAUGAAGGACGUGCUAAUCUGCGAUAAGCGUCGGUAAGGUGAUAUGAACCGUUAUAACCGGCGAUUUCCGAAUGGGGAAACCCAGUGUGUUUCGACACACUAUCAUUAACUGAAUCCAUAGGUUAAUGAGGCGAACCGGGGGAACUGAAACAUCUAAGUACCCCGAGGAAAAGAAAUCAACCGAGAUUCCCCCAGUAGCGGCGAGCGAACGGGGAGCAGCCCAGAGCCUGAAUCAGUAUGUGUGUUAGUGGAAGCGUCUGGAAAGGCGCGCGAUACAGGGUGACAGCCCCGUACACAAAAAUGCACAUAUUGUGAGCUCGAUGAGUAGGGCGGGACACGUGGUAUCCUGUCUGAAUAUGGGGGGACCAUCCUCCAAGGCUAAAUACUCCUGACUGACCGAUAGUGAACCAGUACCGUGAGGGAAAGGCGAAAAGAACCCCGGCGAGGGGAGUGAAAAAGAACCUGAAACCGUGUACGUACAAGCAGUGGGAGCACGCUUAGGCGUGUGACUGCGUACCUUUUGUAUAAUGGGUCAGCGACUUAUAUUCUGUAGCAAGGUUAACCGAAUAGGGGAGCCGAAGGGAAACCGAGUCUUAACUGGGCGUUAAGUUGCAGGGUAUAGACCCGAAACCCGGUGAUCUAGCCAUGGGCAGGUUGAAGGUUGGGUAACACUAACUGGAGGACCGAACCGACUAAUGUUGAAAAAUUAGCGGAUGACUUGUGGCUGGGGGUGAAAGGCCAAUCAAACCGGGAGAUAGCUGGUUCUCCCCGAAAGCUAUUUAGGUAGCGCCUCGUGAAUUCAUCUCCGGGGGUAGAGCACUGUUUCGGCAAGGGGGUCAUCCCGACUUACCAACCCGAUGCAAACUGCGAAUACCGGAGAAUGUUAUCACGGGAGACACACGGCGGGUGCUAACGUCCGUCGUGAAGAGGGAAACAACCCAGACCGCCAGCUAAGGUCCCAAAGUCAUGGUUAAGUGGGAAACGAUGUGGGAAGGCCCAGACAGCCAGGAUGUUGGCUUAGAAGCAGCCAUCAUUUAAAGAAAGCGUAAUAGCUCACUGGUCGAGUCGGCCUGCGCGGAAGAUGUAACGGGGCUAAACCAUGCACCGAAGCUGCGGCAGCGACACUAUGUGUUGUUGGGUAGGGGAGCGUUCUGUAAGCCUGUGAAGGUGUGCUGUGAGGCAUGCUGGAGGUAUCAGAAGUGCGAAUGCUGACAUAAGUAACGAUAAAGCGGGUGAAAAGCCCGCUCGCCGGAAGACCAAGGGUUCCUGUCCAACGUUAAUCGGGGCAGGGUGAGUCGACCCCUAAGGCGAGGCCGAAAGGCGUAGUCGAUGGGAAACAGGUUAAUAUUCCUGUACUUGGUGUUACUGCGAAGGGGGGACGGAGAAGGCUAUGUUGGCCGGGCGACGGUUGUCCCGGUUUAAGCGUGUAGGCUGGUUUUCCAGGCAAAUCCGGAAAAUCAAGGCUGAGGCGUGAUGACGAGGCACUACGGUGCUGAAGCAACAAAUGCCCUGCUUCCAGGAAAAGCCUCUAAGCAUCAGGUAACAUCAAAUCGUACCCCAAACCGACACAGGUGGUCAGGUAGAGAAUACCAAGGCGCUUGAGAGAACUCGGGUGAAGGAACUAGGCAAAAUGGUGCCGUAACUUCGGGAGAAGGCACGCUGAUAUGUAGGUGAAGUCCCUCGCGGAUGGAGCUGAAAUCAGUCGAAGAUACCAGCUGGCUGCAACUGUUUAUUAAAAACACAGCACUGUGCAAACACGAAAGUGGACGUAUACGGUGUGACGCCUGCCCGGUGCCGGAAGGUUAAUUGAUGGGGUUAGCCGCAAGGCGAAGCUCUUGAUCGAAGCCCCGGUAAACGGCGGCCGUAACUAUAACGGUCCUAAGGUAGCGAAAUUCCUUGUCGGGUAAGUUCCGACCUGCACGAAUGGCGUAAUGAUGGCCAGGCUGUCUCCACCCGAGACUCAGUGAAAUUGAACUCGCUGUGAAGAUGCAGUGUACCCGCGGCAAGACGGAAAGACCCCGUGAACCUUUACUAUAGCUUGACACUGAACAUUGAGCCUUGAUGUGUAGGAUAGGUGGGAGGCUUAGAAGUGUGGACGCCAGUCUGCAUGGAGCCGACCUUGAAAUACCACCCUUUAAUGUUUGAUGUUCUAACGUUGACCCGUAAUCCGGGUUGCGGACAGUGUCUGGUGGGUAGUUUGACUGGGGCGGUCUCCUCCUAAAGAGUAACGGAGGAGCACGAAGGUUGGCUAAUCCUGGUCGGACAUCAGGAGGUUAGUGCAAUGGCAUAAGCCAGCUUGACUGCGAGCGUGACGGCGCGAGCAGGUGCGAAAGCAGGUCAUAGUGAUCCGGUGGUUCUGAAUGGAAGGGCCAUCGCUCAACGGAUAAAAGGUACUCCGGGGAUAACAGGCUGAUACCGCCCAAGAGUUCAUAUCGACGGCGGUGUUUGGCACCUCGAUGUCGGCUCAUCACAUCCUGGGGCUGAAGUAGGUCCCAAGGGUAUGGCUGUUCGCCAUUUAAAGUGGUACGCGAGCUGGGUUUAGAACGUCGUGAGACAGUUCGGUCCCUAUCUGCCGUGGGCGCUGGAGAACUGAGGGGGGCUGCUCCUAGUACGAGAGGACCGGAGUGGACGCAUCACUGGUGUUCGGGUUGUCAUGCCAAUGGCACUGCCCGGUAGCUAAAUGCGGAAGAGAUAAGUGCUGAAAGCAUCUAAGCACGAAACUUGCCCCGAGAUGAGUUCUCCCUGACUCCUUGA